CUUAAGGAACAAGGCCAUUUUCAUUGUGUGGAGAACAGUGGUGUUUGAAAUAGCAGGAACAGGCAGAAAGGAGGUUUGGUCACCUUAUUUUAAACAGCUAAAGCCACCCAAAUCUCUAUUUCUGUUCUCUCAUACCUGGAGUCCCAGCUACUUGGGAGGCUGAUGUGGGAGGAUCACUUGAGCGCAGGAGUUUGAGGCUGCAGUGAGCCAUGAUUGUGCCACUGCACUCCAGCCUGGGUGGCAGAGAGAGAUCCUUCAUCGUGGGCCAGGAUGAUGGCCUGUGCUAGCCGUCCUUGAAAAGGCGAGGCCGGGCUGAGGGUGCACUGGGUUUAGACAUAGCAAGUGUCUCCUGUCACUUGUGCCUAGUUCCUGGGGCCAUGGUCCUUGGAGCUGCUGCAUCAGAUUCUCCCAACCACUGUCCUCCUUGCCCUCAGCUUCCGUGACAACAGGCACUCCUGGUUUUCUUCCUACCUCUCUGGCUGCUCCUUCCAGUCUUUUUGCAGGUUCCCACUCACUUACACAUGCCUUAAAAGUCGGUGGGCUUAGGGGUAACCAAUUUAGGCAUCCCUCUCUUGUAGGCAUCCCUCUCUUGUAGGCAUCCCACUCUUCCUUGGGAUGACUUAGUGAUUACAUCCUCUCCAAGACUUCAGGUCCCAGUGUCCUAUAUCCAGUUCGAAUACAUAGCCAUGUCAGUGGGAAGGAAAAACAGUUGCUCCUUUGGUAGAAAUGGCUACUGGAGGAAAUUUGAUUCAUUGAAGAACUUGGCUUGGGAAUUUGCAGACUGGUAGCACUCAUCAAGGCCUUGGAGAUCUUCGGAUUCUACCCCCUCAUCUUGGAAUCAGGAAACUGCAGGGGAUUGCCCAGGGGCACAGAUGUCCCAGGCUCCUGGGUGGGUUGGAACCAUCAAGCUCCCUGAAGAAAGGCUCCCAAGACAGGGAACAUAAUUAUUCCCCCAGGACAGAGUUGGACUUCAAGUGCAGCUUUCCACCAU
This 991-nucleotide long non-coding RNA is filed under the name Homo sapiens (human). RNAcentral describes it as "long non-coding RNA PTCSC2-b". The record is from RNAcentral. Lineage: Eukaryota; Metazoa; Chordata; Mammalia; Primates; Hominidae.